AGCGGCAGACGGGAGAGUAACACGUGGGAACAUGCCCUUCGGUUCGGAAUAACUCAGGGAAACUUGAGCUAAUACCGGAUACGUCCGUAAGGAGAAAGAUUUAUCGCCGAAGGAUUGGCCCGCGUCCGAUUAGCUAGUUGGUGAGGUAACGGCUCACCAAGGCGACGAUCGGUAGCUGGUCUGAGAGGAUGAUCAGCCUCACUGGGACUGAGACACGGCCCAGACUCCUACGGGAGGCAGCAGUGGGGAAUAUUGGACAAUGGGCGCAAGCCUGAUCCAGCCAUGCCGCGUGGGUGAUGAAGGCCCUAGGGUUGUAAAGCCCUUUCGGCGGGGAAGAUAAUGACGGUACCCGCAGAAGAAGCCCCGGCUAACUUCGUGCCAGCAGCCGCGGUAAUACGAAGGGGGCUAGCGUUGCUCGGAAUCACUGGGCGUAAAGCGCACGUAGGCGGAUCGUUAAGUCAGGGGUGAAAUCCUGGAGCUCAACUCCAGAACUGCCUUUGA
This 501-nucleotide ribosomal RNA is filed under the name uncultured bacterium. RNAcentral's name for it is "bacterial SSU rRNA". It matches the Rfam family "Bacterial small subunit ribosomal RNA", at positions 94 to 630 of the family's 1533-position model. The record is from RNAcentral.